This 62-nucleotide transfer RNA is filed under the name Olavius algarvensis. Lineage: Eukaryota; Metazoa; Annelida; Clitellata; Tubificida; Naididae. The record is from RNAcentral.
CUGAGGAUAGUUUACUAAAAACAUUAACCCUGGAAGUUAAAACUCUCAUAAGAGCCCUCUGG